CAGUAGCCACGGUAAUACGAAGGUCCCGAGCGUUGUUCGGAAUCACUGGGCGUAAAGGGAGCGUAGGCGGCGUGGUAAGUCAGAUGUGAAAUCCCGGGGCUCAACCCCGGAACUGCAUCCGAUACUGCCAUGCUAGAGGAUUGGAGAGGUAGCUGGAAUUCUUGGUGUAGCAGUGAAAUGCGUGGAGAUCAAGAGGAACACUCGUGGCGAAAGCGAGCUACUGGACAAUAACUGACGCUGAGGCUCGAAGGCCAGGGUAGCGAAAGGGAUUAGAUACCCCAGUAGUCCCUGUCUCUUAUAC
This 301-nucleotide ribosomal RNA is filed under the name uncultured bacterium. Its description in RNAcentral is "partial 16S ribosomal RNA". It matches the Rfam family "Bacterial small subunit ribosomal RNA", at positions 509 to 807 of the family's 1533-position model. The record is from RNAcentral.